RNAcentral lists this non-coding RNA (36 nucleotides) under unclassified sequences. RNAcentral describes it as "DUF805b RNA". It matches the Rfam family "DUF805b RNA". From Rfam's summary of the family: Bacteroidetes, Chlorobi (1 example), Proteobacteria. Lineage (Flavobacteria) The record is from RNAcentral.
CAGGUGGAUUCCGAAAAACCGAAGAUAGAGUAGGAG